Molecule: unclassified non-coding RNA, 383 nt
Filed under: uncultured bacterium
Lineage: Bacteria
Description: contains 16S-23S intergenic spacer region
Source: RNAcentral
UCCGAGUUGACCCCGGCAGUCUCCCAUGAGUCCCCACCAUCACGUGCUGGCAACACAGGACAAGGGUUGCGCUCGUUGCGGGACUUAACCCAACAUCUCACGACGCGAGCUGACGACAGCCAUGCAGCACCUGUGUCCAGGUCCCGUAAGGGAAGGAAUCCAUCUCUGGAAACCGUCCUGGCAUGUCAAACGCUGGUAAGGUUCUGCGCGUUGCAUCGAAUUAAACCACAUGCUCCACCGCUUGUGCGGGCCCCCGUCAAUUCCUUUGAGUUUUAGCCUUGCGGCCGUACUCCCCAGGCGGAGUGCUUAAUGCGCUAGCUGCGGCACAGAGCGGGUUGAAGACCGCCCCACACCUAGCACUCAACGUUUACGGCUGGGACUAC